Long non-coding RNA from Octopus sinensis (East Asian common octopus), 162 nucleotides. RefSeq lists it as uncharacterized. The transcript is spliced from 3 exons. The record is from RefSeq and is a predicted model, not a curated record. NCBI's taxonomy places the organism in Eukaryota, Metazoa, Mollusca, Cephalopoda, Octopoda, Octopodidae.
AUGAUCUAAAUCUAAACCUUCCAUCAAAAUUUGAUGUUAAUUUAUGUUGCAAAUACUAGUUUAAUAGUGACAAAGUUAUUUUACUAAAUUCUUCAUUAUCUUAAAAAUUAAUUAAAACAAUGGCAGUGGAUUUCAACAGAAACAUGGUAACUAAAAGGGUUA